This 492-nucleotide ribosomal RNA is filed under the name uncultured bacterium. RNAcentral's name for it is "partial 16S ribosomal RNA". It matches the Rfam family "Bacterial small subunit ribosomal RNA", at positions 29 to 507 of the family's 1533-position model. The record is from RNAcentral.
AGUGAACGCUGGCGGUAGGCCUAACACAUGCAAGUCGAACGGCAGCACAGUAAGAGCUUGCUCUUACGGGUGGCGAGUGGCGGACGGGUGAGGAAUACAUCGGAAUCUACUUUUUCGUGGGGGAUAACGUAGGGAAACUUACGCUAAUACCGCAUACGACCUACGGGUGAAAGCAGGGGAUCUUCGGACCUUGCGCGAUUGAAUGAGCCGAUGUCAGAUUAGCUAGUUGGCGGGGUAAAGGCCCACCAAGGCGACGAUCCGUAGCUGGUCUGAGAGGAUGAUCAGCCACACUGGAACUGAGACACGGUCCAGACUCCUACGAGAGGCAGCAGUGGGGAAUAUUGGACAAUGGGCGCAAGCCUGAUCCAGCCAUACCGCGUGGGUGAAGAAGGCCUUCGGGUUGUAAAGCCCUUUUGUUGGGAAAGAAAAGCAGCAGGUUAAUACCCCGCUGUUCUGACGGUACCCAAAGAAUAAGCACCGGCUAACUUCGUG